Molecule: small nuclear RNA, 294 nt
Filed under: Meriones unguiculatus (Mongolian gerbil)
Lineage: Eukaryota; Metazoa; Chordata; Mammalia; Rodentia; Muridae
Description: 7SK RNA (ENSMUGG00000001712.1)
Rfam family: 7SK RNA
About the family: 7SK was discovered as an abundant small nuclear RNA in the mid-70s but a possible function has only recently been suggested. Two independent studies have found that 7SK RNA binds the CDK9/cyclin T complex (known as elongation factor P-TEFb). P-TEFb activates transcription by phosphorylating the C-terminal domain of RNA polymerase II.
Source: RNAcentral
UGAUGUGAGGGUGACUGACUGAGACAUUUGUCACCCCAUUGAUUACUAGGGUUGAUUUGCCUGAUCCGGCUAGCUAGGCAGGUGUCUUCCUCCUCUCUCACCCCUCCAUGUUCACUCUGGCCAAAGCUGUACACUGAGUUCAAGAGGAUGACCUUCCCAGGUAGAGGAGGCCCUUCUUUUGGUCAGUGGUAUACCAAGAGAUGCACACCCCAGCUAGAACCUCCAAACAAGCUCUCGAGGUACAAAUGCUUCUGGGGGGAGAGGCUAAAUGUGUGGGGUGAAUUCCCACUAGUU